UUGUAGGAUCAGAGAAGCGAUAGACUUCAUAUCUAAUAUUACAACUUGGUUUGACAACUCUACAACCAAUCUUGUUAUAACAGUAAAUUGGAAUUUCUGAUAUAGCAAACUCUAAACAAUCAUUGCAAUCUUGCUCUGACAAAUCAGGUGUACACUGCACAAGACCAUAUAUGGUUUGAAAAUUCAAAUUCACAUCAGUUGCAUUAUCCGCAGCAAACUUAAGACGAGAAUCACUUGAUGCAGCUAUUUCUCUCAGUUUCCUCAUCAAGUUUCCAAGAACUCGAUUAAAUGGAUCCACCUCGGUUACAUUGUUCGGGUUCGACAUAUAAAACUUUGGUGACCAUUCAAGAAUGCCAAAUAUUGAUUGGUUUGAGUAACGCAACAUGUAGUCCUCAUACCAACCAAUUGCUUCUUUUUGGUUUGGACAAAGUUUUGUGAGAAGAACUCUUGAAUCAUUGAGACGACUGCGGCAAACAUCAGGUUUAACAUCUCCUCUGCAGAGUCCAAUGGCGUUUACUUUGUCGGUGUUUUGGCCAUAAGAGAAAUUGUAGAAACCGUAGUUGAUUUGAGUGUUGGAAGUGAGAUUGGAUAAAAGGGUGUUGAGGUUGUUUUGAUAGGUGCUAUUGGCUGUGUAGUUGCCAUUAUUGUUUAUACAAGAGUAGCGCACAAAAUCUGGUUGGCCCUGGGCUUGAGAUACGAUAAUGAUAAUAAAAAGGAGAAAAGAGUAAAAGGAAAAUAAUAGCUUGCUAGAAACAAUUGUCAUUCUGAUAUAUUGAUCUCUGUCUUGGAACAAGAACAGGUUAUUAAGUAGUGGAUGAUUGAAGCUUUGGAUAUGAAAGUCGGUCAAUGAAUUAAUUUUCCGUGGUUGAAGUUAUUUGUUGACUAAAAUUUGUUGAAACAAAGCUUUUAGACUUUUAUCAUUCAGUUGUGAAAGAAAUGAAAUAUGCUAGUAACAUCUAAUUUUUAUAAUCAAAACACUUAUGACUAAUGGCUUGCAUUUUUCUUUCCCUUCUUUCUAUUUUUGAAUUAUUACUAUUACUGCAUCUAGGUUUUUUAUAUUUGAAAGCAACGCUUUGUUAAUCAUCACACAACUUAUUAUUAUGAAGAUUUUAUGUCGUCAAAACUAUAGCCUGCAUUCAUACCGCAUGUGUCAUCCUAGUUACUUAAUGAUAUGUCACAUGUGCGUCAGCGUUGUCACAAUUGAGGGAUGGACCACUUAUGCCAAAGGAGUAAACUUAAUGGUUAAAAUUGCAAGUAAGUGGUAUUGAAGAGAUCAUAAUAUUCGCUGCCAAUUGAAAAGCCAACAAAACCAUUACCCCAUUCUUCCUUCUUCCUCCCUUCAUAUUUCUUUUUCACGUCAUGGUGGGGUACUGUUUGGCCGCGUUGUCCAUAAAUUUUAAUGUUAGAAGUCAAUAACAUCAUGUUGUCAAGAAGAUGUACGAGGAAAACAACAGCAUCAAAAUUUGCUCUAGAUAGAGGAAUAAUACUAGUAAAGUUUAUGGUCAGUCAACUCAAGUCCAACACCUCACCUUUACAAAUUUGUGUCAUUUGGUCAAUUGUGUAUACCUCUGCAAAUAUAUCUUUGUAUAUUACAUGAGUGAAUUUAGGUUUAAUGUUACAAGCUAGAAUAGACUAACUAUUUUAUGAAUAUCUAUUUUAGCAAUUUACACAUUUUCUUUUCGAUAAAAAGACUCAUUUAAUUACAUUUUGUUUGAUAAUGACUUGUCCAAAAUUACAACUCUAUUUUUCAAUUUUGAUUUUUUUUAAAAGAGUAAAAUUAAGUUUUUUGUCCAAAAAAAGGUGUUGGUUGCUAAAAUACUCCUUUAUGAAAAAGUAUGGUUAUAUGUAUAAACAUACACAGGACUAUAUCCAAAUUCACAAUGAUCCACUAUAGCCCAGCUGCCCUGCCCUUUGCCCCACUUACAUUUGUAUAUAUGAGUCAUACUUAAUGGAACUCAACAUUCUAGCAUAUAAAAAAGGGAAAAUUGAUGUUCACACUUGUGUUCAAACAUUAAUGUAAUUUUAAUGAAAUGUCGGAUUGAUUCAAUUAUGGACAGCUAUAAAAGAUAAUGUAUUUUUGUUGUUUAUGACUGAGUAUAAAUGUUGUACGACUAAUAUUGUUUCUGGAAAUGCUCUGGUUGAAUUAUAGGUAAAAACUAGCCGAAAAAUGGCUUGGUUCAACUAUGCAGAACCCACUGUCUGCAUAAUUGCUUUCCUCAGCAGUUAACAGCAACAAGCGGCAAUUAACUGCCGAAGAAUAGUAAAACCAGCCUUUUGUCUUUUAAUGAUGUGUUUCAGCCUUAUCACAUGUGUGAACAACAAAUUUCUAAAAAAGGACCUUUUGCAUCCUCUAAAGUGGAGACAUAUGGUUUGAAUGAGGACUUAGGUACCUAAAGGGUGCAUGUAACCAUGUUGAAGUUACAACUCACGGAUACAUGUAUUUCACUACACAAUCCACAUAUACAAAUAUUUUACACAAUCAUCAAAUGUCACUUUAUUUAAUGAGUUUCAAAAUAAAUGCAUGACCCCACAUCACCCUUAUGAAUGAAAUCUAUCGAGGGUAUGGAUCAGUAAUUGAAGCAUGGUUUCUUGAUUCUCCCUCAAAUUGCAUGUCUCGAACUGGAAGGCUUCUACUUCUGCCUCCCACAAUAGAUGCAGGCUCCAAAGGUACAGCGAGAGUGAUAUAAUAACUACUAAGCAUGAGUACAACGGUUGCCAUGAUUGGUCUUUCAACCAAAUUUUCUUGAACACAUAGUAAAGCAAUGUGAAUGCAUCUCAUUAUUUCAUUUCGUGAACCAUUGCUUAAUGAUGGAUCUAUUAUAUUUGUGAUUGUACCCUCUCUCCAGUUUCUCCAUGCCUGCACAAUUGCAUAUACCUUUUAUAUCGCUAAUUACAAUUCAAUCUUAACAUGCUUAAUUUAAUGAAAUCAUCUUUUAAUGCAUACUUUUUUAUUGGCAUUGAAGAAAUAAUAAUGAGAGAACAGGACUUACAAAGCUAAGUAAAUCCUCCGAACGCUGUGCAUGAAAAACGUGACAUGCUUUCUGGCCACUUAUAAUCUCCAAAACUAGCACCCCAAAACUAAAAACGUCUGAUUUUAUCGAAAAUUCUCCAAACAUUACAUACUCGGGAGCCAUAUAUCCACUACAUAAAAAAGUGAAAAAGUUUAAUUAGUCAGAACUAAUUAGUCUUUCCGAGUCACAAGUAAUCAACUUGAAUUAGUUGUUAAGGCCAAUGAUACCUAUUAACAAAUUUGAUUUAUUUUUUAUUCAAAAAAACAAUUUUGAUUUUUCACCAAUUACCAUGAUGCAUGAUACCAUCUUUAAAAGAGCUUAAAUAUCAUAAAAACUAUUUUUGGAGUCAACAUCAAUGAAUUACAUACAAUACAAGAAAAAUUAAUGAUGAAAAAAAUUGUACUUAACAAGAUAUGGAAAUCAUAUCAUAAUACUUACUAUGUUCCAACGAUUUUAUUUGUAUUUACUUGAGUUUGAUCGACAAGAAGUAGUCUGGCGAUACCAAAAUCUGAUAUUUUAGGAUUCAAUUUUUCGUCUAAGAGAAUGUUACCCGCUUUAAGAUCACGAUGUAUAAUACGAAGUUGAGAAUCCUGAUGAAGGUAAAGAAGGCCUCUAGCAAUACCUCCAAUGAUUUUGUAGCGCCUUUCCCAGUCUAAUUGUGCUUUCUUUAUUGGAUCUAUACAUACACAAAAUUAGAUAUUUUAGUAGUCAUAUGCAUGAGAGCAACAAUCUAAUAAAGCAUAUAUUAUGGCCUACCAAAUAUAAAAUAAUCAAGACUUUUAUUAGGAACAAAUUCAUAGAAAAGCAAUCUUUCUCUUCCUUCUAGACAAAAACCAAGUAGUCAAACUAAAUUUCGAUGUUGAAGCUUAGCGACUAAAAGCACUUCAUUCUUAAAUUCAAUAUCCCCUUGUCCUGAAUUUGUUGACAACCUUUUGAUCGCAAUCACUUGUCCACCGGCGAGUAUACCCUGUAAAUAUAUUUCAUUUGUGUAUAAUAAGUACUUUAAUGAUGAAGAAUGUGAUGUUCAUCUAAAUCAAUAGUAUUAUAUAUAUACCUGAUAAACAAUUCCAAAUCCGCCAUGUCCAAGUUUAUUAGCUUCAGAAAAGUUACUUGUAGCAACUCGUAAUGUCUCGAAGUUGAAUAGCAAUGACUCAGCGAUUUCAAUAUCAUUAUUAUCAUCUUCUAUAUCUUCAAACAAUGUACAAGGCAUGUUAGAAAAAUAUGCUAAUAUCUAAUUUUUAAAAUCAAAAUACUUAUAACUAUUGGCUUCCAUUUUUCUUUGCCAUCUGUCUCUUUUGGAAUUACUGCUUCUAGGUUGUCUCUAUUUGAAUGCAAAACUCUGUUAACCAUCACAACUUAUUAUUAUGAAGUAAAUUUUAUGUCGUCAAAAUUAUCCUGCAUCCAUACCACGACUUAGACAGUCUAACAAAUUUAGGAAAGGUCACAUACCUUCGAGAUUUAUCUUUGCCUUCCUUUUCCUUACGCAUAUGCAAAUGAAAAUUAGCAGGGAAGCAACAACAACCACAACAGUCGGCACAACUAUGGCGAUGGUAGUAUGUGAUGAUUUGCUUUUUUCUGUAAAAUGAUACAUUUCAAAGAUUAAGAAUAGUAAAAUAAUACCAACAAACAAGGUCUAUAAUGACUAACUAAUGAGAAAAACUCCAAGAAAGGAACGAGUAAAACAAGACCACCUAAUUGUAAAUAUGUUGUAACGAGCAAUUAAGAUGAUUAAUUAACGACAAUUAGUAAUUACCUUCUUCUGAUGGGGAGGUUUCACCUGGGUCUAUUACAGGUGUAGGAUCAUAGAAGGAAUAGAUUUCAUGUCUAAUAUUGCAACUUGGUUUGAGAACUAUACCGCCAACCUUGUUAUUAAAAUAAAUAGGAAUUUCUGAAAUAGCACGCUCUAAACAAUCAUUGCAAUCUUGCUGUGAUAAAUCAGGUGUACACUGCACAAGACCAUAUGUGGUUUCAAAAUUCAAAGUUGCAUUAGCGGUAGCAAACUUACGACGAGAAUCACUUGAUGCUGCUAUUUCUUUGAGUUUCCUCAUCAAGUUCCCAAGAACUUGAUUAAAUUGAUCCACCUCGG
Molecule: long non-coding RNA, 5097 nt
Filed under: Medicago truncatula (barrel medic)
Lineage: Eukaryota; Viridiplantae; Streptophyta; Magnoliopsida; Fabales; Fabaceae
Description: long non-coding RNA (MTRU_LNC007808)
Source: RNAcentral